RNAcentral lists this microRNA precursor (104 nucleotides) under Mus pahari (shrew mouse). RNAcentral describes it as "miRNA (MGP_PahariEiJ_G0006580.1)". The record is from RNAcentral. Lineage: Eukaryota; Metazoa; Chordata; Mammalia; Rodentia; Muridae.
GGUGUGGCCUUGUCAAAGGAAGUGUGUCACUGGGGGUGGGCUUUGAGGUUUCAGAAGUUCAAAUCAAACCCACUGUCACUCUCUCUUCUGCUGCUUGCUGAUCC